RNAcentral lists this ribosomal RNA (253 nucleotides) under uncultured bacterium. Its description in RNAcentral is "partial 16S ribosomal RNA". It matches the Rfam family "Bacterial small subunit ribosomal RNA", at positions 524 to 776 of the family's 1533-position model. The record is from RNAcentral.
UACGUAGGUGGCAAGCGUUGUCCGGAAUUAUUGGGCGUAAAGCGCGCGCAGGCGGUCCUUUAAGUCUGAUGUGAAAGCCCAUGGCUCAACCGUGGAGGGUCAUUGGAAACUGGGGGACUUGAGUGCAGGAGAGAAGAGUGUAAUUCCACGUGUAGCGGUGAAAUGCGUAGAGAUGUGGAGGAACACCAGUGGCGAAGGCGACUCUUUGGUCUGUAACUGACGCUGAGGCGCGAAAGCGUGGGGAGCAAACAGG